GAUGAACGCUGGCGGCGUGCCUAAUACAUGCAAGUCGAGCGAACAGACGAGGAGCUUGCUCCUCUGACGUUAGCGGCGGACGGGUGAGUAACACGUGGAUAACCUACCUAUAUGACUGGGAUAACUUCGGGAAACCGGAGCUAAUACCGGAUAAUAUAUUGAACCGCAUGGUUCAAUAGUGAAAGACGGUUUUGCUGUCACUUAUAGAUGGAUCCGCGCCGCAUUAGCUAGUUGGUAAGGUAACGGCUUACCAAGGCAACGAUGCGUAGCCGACCUGAGAGGGUGAUCGGCCACACUGGAACUGAGACACGGUCCAGACUCCUACGGGAGGCAGCAGUAGGGAAUCUUCCGCAAUGGGCGAAAGCUUGACGGAGCAACGCCGCGUGAGUGAUGAAGGUCUUCGGAUCGUAAAACUCUGUUAUUAGGGAAGAACAAAUGUGUAAGUAACUAUGCACGUAUUGACGGUACCUAAUCAGAAAGCCACGGCUAACUACGUG
This 497-nucleotide ribosomal RNA is filed under the name uncultured bacterium. RNAcentral's name for it is "partial 16S ribosomal RNA". It matches the Rfam family "Bacterial small subunit ribosomal RNA", at positions 28 to 507 of the family's 1533-position model. The record is from RNAcentral.